RNAcentral lists this ribosomal RNA (497 nucleotides) under uncultured bacterium. RNAcentral describes it as "partial 16S ribosomal RNA". It matches the Rfam family "Bacterial small subunit ribosomal RNA", at positions 28 to 507 of the family's 1533-position model. The record is from RNAcentral.
GAUGAACGCUGGCGGCGUGCCUAAUACAUGCAAGUCGAGCGAACGGACGAGAAGCUUGCUUCUCUGAUGUUAGCGGCGGACGGGUGAGUAACACGUGGAUAACCUACCUAUAGGACUGGGAUAACUUCGGGAAACCGGCGCUAAUACCGGAUAAUAUUUUGAACCGCAUGGUUCAAAAGUGAAAGACGGUCUUGCUGUCACUUAUAGAUGGAUCCGCGCUGCAUUAGCUAGUUGGUAAGGUAACGGCUUACCAAGGCAACGAUGCAUAGCCGACCUGAGAGGGUGAUCGGCCACACUGGAACUGAGACACGGUCCAGACUCCUACGGGAGGCAGCAGUAGGGAAUCUUCCGCAAUGGGCGAAAGCCUGACGGAGCAACGCCGCGUGAGUGAUGAAGGUCUUCGGAUCGUAAAACUCUGUUAUUAGGGAAGAACAUAUGUGUAAGUAACUGUGCACAUCUUGACGGUACCUAAUCAGAAAGCCACGGCUAACUACGUG